This 72-nucleotide transfer RNA is filed under the name Bos taurus (domestic cattle). It matches the Rfam family "tRNA". From Rfam's summary of the family: Transfer RNA (tRNA) molecules are approximately 80 nucleotides in length. Their secondary structure includes four short double-helical elements and three loops (D, anti-codon, and T loops). The record is from Rfam by way of RNAcentral. Lineage: Eukaryota; Metazoa; Chordata; Mammalia; Artiodactyla; Bovidae. RNAcentral also lists the same sequence under 6 other names.
UCCCUGGUGGCUCAGAUGGUAAAGCAUCUGCCUGCAAUGUGGGAGACCCGGGUUCGAUCCCUGGGUCGGGAA